CCUCUCCUUCUCAUGUAUAUAGCAUUAGGAAGGGGAAGAAGCCACGUACAUUUUCUCCAUCCUCAAGUUCUUCAGGAGAUUCUACCUCUAGAUUUUUCCAGCAUUGGUGGCUCGAUGACUACGAGCGUAAAUUCAAAGAGAUCGAUCAUCAACUUGUCUGACUCCAAGUGGAAGGUCGGAAGUCCUCCAAUGACCUCGGC
Molecule: long non-coding RNA, 200 nt
Filed under: Elaeis guineensis (African oil palm)
Lineage: Eukaryota; Viridiplantae; Streptophyta; Magnoliopsida; Arecales; Arecaceae
Description: long non-coding RNA (EGUI_LNC021470)
Source: RNAcentral